GACGAACGCUGGCGGCGUGCUUAACACAUGCAAGUCGAACGGAAAGGCCCUGCUUUUGUGGGGUGCUCGAGUGGCGAACGGGUGUGUAACACGUGAGUAACCUGCCCUUGACUUUGGGAUAACUUCAGGAAACUGGGGCUAAUACCGGAUAGGAGCUCCUGCUGCAUGUUGGGGGUUGGAAAGUUUCGGCGGGUGGGGAUGGACUCGCGGCUUAUCAGCUUGUUGGUGGGGUAGUGGCUUACCAAGGCUUUGACGGGUAGCCGGCCUGGGAGGGGGACCGGCAACAUGGGGACUGGGAUACGGCCCAGACUCCAACGGGAGGCAGCAGGGGGGAAUAUUGCACAAUGGGCGGAAGCCUGAUGCAGCAACGCCGCGGGCGGGAUGACGGCCUUCGGGUUGUAAACCGCUUUCGCCUGUGACGAAGCGUGAGUGACGGUAAUUGGUAAAGAAGCACCGGCUAACUACGUG
RNAcentral lists this ribosomal RNA (468 nucleotides) under uncultured bacterium. RNAcentral's name for it is "partial 16S ribosomal RNA". It matches the Rfam family "Bacterial small subunit ribosomal RNA", at positions 28 to 507 of the family's 1533-position model. The record is from RNAcentral.